CGAGCGAAGCGGGAAGAGCUCAAAUUUGUAAUCUGGCAGCGAUGCCCGAGUUGUAAUCUAUAGAGUCGUUUUCGGUGCCGGACCGCGUCCAAGUCCCUUGGAACAGGGUAUCAAAGAGGGUGACAAUCCCGUGCUUGACGCGAUUUCCGGGGCUGUGUGAUACGAUUUCUACGAGUCGAGUUGUUUGGGAAUGCAGCUCUAAACGGGUGGUAAAUUCCAUCUAAAGCUAAAUAUUGGCGAGAGACCGAUAGCGAACAAGUACCGUGAGGGAAAGAUGAAAAGCACUUUGGAAAGAGAGUUAAACAGUACGUGAAAUUGUUGAAAGGGAAACGAUUGAAGUCAGUCGUGUUUGUUGGUUUCAGCAGGCUCUGCCUGUGUAUUACCUUCAAACGGGUCAACAUCGGUUAGCCUGGGCGCAGAAAGGUAUCGGGAAGGUAGCACCCUCGGGUGUGUUAUAGCCUGAUGCCAUAUUCGUCCGGGCUGACCGAGGACUGCGGUGUGCCCGCAAGGGCGGUCCAUCUGGUCCCCACACCUGG
Molecule: ribosomal RNA, 536 nt
Filed under: Agaricomycotina sp. IP
Lineage: Eukaryota; Fungi; Basidiomycota
Description: LSU rRNA
Rfam family: Eukaryotic large subunit ribosomal RNA
Source: RNAcentral